RNAcentral lists this ribosomal RNA (253 nucleotides) under uncultured bacterium. RNAcentral's name for it is "partial 16S ribosomal RNA". It matches the Rfam family "Bacterial small subunit ribosomal RNA", at positions 524 to 776 of the family's 1533-position model. The record is from RNAcentral.
UACGUAGGGUGCAAGCGUUGUCCGGAAUUAUUGGGCGUAAAGAGCUCGUAGGUGGCCUGUCGCGUCGGCUGUGAAAACUCGGGGCUCAACUCCGAGCUUGCAGUCGAUACGGGCAGGCUAGAGUUCGGCAGGGGAGACUGGAAUUCCUGGUGUAGCGGUGAAAUGCGCAGGUAUCAGGAGGAACACCGGUGGCGAAGGCGGGUCUCUGGGCCGAUACUGACACUGAGGAGCGAAAGCGUGGGGAGCGAACAGG